UACGGAGGGGGCUAGCGUUAUUCGGAAUUACUGGGCGUAAAGCGCACGUAGGCGGAUUGGAAAGUUGGAGGUGAAAUCCCAGGGCUCAACCUUGGAACUGCCUUCAAACCUCCCAGUCUUGAGGUCGAGAGAGGUAAGUGGAAUUCCGAGUGUAGAGGUGAAAUUCGUAGAUAUGCGGAGGAACACCAGUGGCGAAGGCGGCUUACUGGUCCGGUACUGACGCUGAGGUGCGAAAGCGUGGGGAGCAAACAGG
Molecule: ribosomal RNA, 253 nt
Filed under: uncultured bacterium
Lineage: Bacteria
Description: partial 16S ribosomal RNA
Rfam family: Bacterial small subunit ribosomal RNA
Source: RNAcentral